This 436-nucleotide ribosomal RNA is filed under the name uncultured bacterium. RNAcentral describes it as "bacterial SSU rRNA". It matches the Rfam family "Bacterial small subunit ribosomal RNA", at positions 56 to 504 of the family's 1533-position model. The record is from RNAcentral.
UGCAAGUCGAACGGAAAGGCCGGGUGCUUGCACCUGGUACUCGAGUGGCGAACGGGUGAGUAACACGUGGGUGAUCUGCCCUGCACUUCGGGAUAAGCCUGGGAAACUGGGUCUAAUACCGGAUAGGACCAUUGGUUGGUACUGGUGGUGGAAAGUUUUUCGGUGCAGGAUGAGCUCGCGGCCUAUCAGCUUGUUGGUGGGGUAAUGGCCUACCAAGGCGGCGACGGGUAGCCGGCCUGAGAGGGUGGACGGCCACAUUGGGACUGAGACACGGCCCAGACUCCUACGGGAGGCAGCAGUGGGGAAUAUUGCACAAUGGGCGCAAGCCUGAUGCAGCGACGCCGCGUGGGGGAUGACGGCCUUCGGGUUGUAAACUCCUUUCAACCAUGACGAAGCUUUUGUGACGGUAGUGGUAGAAGAAGCACCGGCUAACUAC